RNAcentral lists this long non-coding RNA (757 nucleotides) under Salmo salar (Atlantic salmon). RNAcentral's name for it is "lncRNA (ENSSSAG00000097005.1)". The record is from RNAcentral. Lineage: Eukaryota; Metazoa; Chordata; Actinopteri; Salmoniformes; Salmonidae.
CUGAUCUGAGACCCGAGCGGGUCCGGAUCUAGAAUUCUAAAUGUCACCGUCUGGGUUGGAUCCGACAUGAUUGUCACAGGUCUCGGGUAUGUGUAAUUUUAACUGACUUGUCCGGAAGGGUCCCGUACAGAUCCGAACACGACUGCUGCAGUAGAGAGAACUUGUAUAAUUUAUAUUGCUGCUCUUGCUUUUCACAAGUGUAGUGUAGCAGUGGCGGUUGGUGAUGUUUAAGAUGGAGGACGACACAUUAAAUACAGCCUUGCACACUCUUGCCUGCAUCUAGCUGAUAUAGGGUGUUAUUAGUCCAACUGUUGAAAAACACGUUUAUAUUGGCAAAAUUCAGGUAUGUUUAUCCCUGUUUCAUUCCAUUUGCUUCCGUUUUUAAAUGUUUUUCAACAGAAUCAGCGUCAUGAAUACACCCCUGAUCACACAAACAGCUUACUUUCAUAGCAGCCACACUAUUCAUUCUUGCGUCUAUGGGCUCCUCCUUUUCCCUUCGCUUGUGGACUUCAAUGAACAACACAGCAGCUGUAUGUGACCAGCAUGUCGUGGGCGGAGCCGGAAGGGUCGUCAGCGAAAUGGGACACCUGUGCUCGGGUGUGUUCCAGGAUAAAUGCACCUCUUCCCUAUUUCCCUAUUCAUUGAGGAGACUCCAUGCACACACAGAUUUUGGUUGUUUGCGUUGGCACCUUUCAACACCCCUCAUUAUUACAUUUAUGUUCGCAACCACUCACUUACACUACUGACUACACACACA